Molecule: ribosomal RNA, 484 nt
Filed under: uncultured bacterium
Lineage: Bacteria
Description: partial 16S ribosomal RNA
Rfam family: Bacterial small subunit ribosomal RNA
Source: RNAcentral
ACUGAACGCUGGCGGCAGGCCUAACACAUGCAAGUCGAGCGGAUGAAGGGAGCUUGCUCCUGGAUUCAGCGGCGGACGGGUGAGUAAUGCCUAGGAAUCUGCCUGGUAGUGGGGGAUAACGUCCGGAAACGGGCGCUAAUACCGCAUACGUCCUGAGGGAGAAAGUGGGGGAUCUUCGGACCUCACGCUAUCAGAUGAGCCUAGGUCGGAUUAGCUAGUUGGUGGGGUAAAGGCCUACCAAGGCGACGAUCCGUAACUGGUCUGAGAGGAUGAUCAGUCACACUGGAACUGAGACACGGUCCAGACUCCUACGGGGGGCAGCAGUGGGGAAUAUUGGACAAUGGGCGAAAGCCUGAUCCAGCCAUGCCGCGUGUGUGAAGAAGGUCUUCGGAUUGUAAAGCACUUUAAGUUGGGAGGAAGGGCAGUAAGUUAAUACCUUGCUGUUUUGACGUUACCAACAGAAUAAGCACCGGCUAACUUCGUG